RNAcentral lists this transfer RNA (89 nucleotides) under Candidatus Nealsoniibacteriota bacterium. RNAcentral's name for it is "Candidatus Nealsonbacteria bacterium tRNA-Ser". It matches the Rfam family "tRNA". Rfam says of the family: Transfer RNA (tRNA) molecules are approximately 80 nucleotides in length. The record is from RNAcentral. Lineage: Bacteria; Candidatus Nealsoniibacteriota.
GGAGGGGUGCGCCGAAUUGGCAAGGCGCCAGUCUGGAGAACUGGUGGGCAUUUAUGCCCUUGCAGGUUCGAGUCCUGUCCCCUCCGCCA